CAGUAAAUAGUUUAAUUAAAAUUUAAGUUUUGGAUACUUAAGAUGUAUAAAUAAUACUUUACUGA
Molecule: transfer RNA, 65 nt
Filed under: Evacanthus danmainus
Lineage: Eukaryota; Metazoa; Arthropoda; Insecta; Hemiptera; Cicadellidae
Description: tRNA-Pro
Source: RNAcentral